RNAcentral lists this transfer RNA (71 nucleotides) under Candidatus Woesearchaeota archaeon. Its description in RNAcentral is "tRNA-Gly". It matches the Rfam family "tRNA". From Rfam's summary of the family: Transfer RNA (tRNA) molecules are approximately 80 nucleotides in length. Their secondary structure includes four short double-helical elements and three loops (D, anti-codon, and T loops). Further hydrogen bonds mediate the characteristic L-shaped molecular structure. tRNAs have two regions of fundamental functional importance: the anti-codon, which is responsible for specific mRNA codon recognition, and the 3' end, to which the tRNAs corresponding amino acid is attached (by aminoacyl-tRNA synthetases). tRNAs cope with the degeneracy of the genetic code in two manners: having more than one tRNA (with a specific anti-codon) for a particular amino acid; and 'wobble' base-pairing, i.e. permitting non-standard base-pairing at the 3rd anti-codon position. The record is from RNAcentral. Lineage: Archaea; Nanobdellati; Candidatus Woesearchaeota.
GCGACAGUAGUCUAACGGUAGGACAUCACCCUGCCACGGUGGUAAUCCGGGUUCGAAUCCCGGCUGUCGCA